CCUACGGGAGGCUGCAGUGGGGAAUAUUGGACAAUGGGGGGAACCCUGAUCCAGCCAUGCCGCGUGUGAAGAAGGCCCUCGGGUUGUAAAGCACUUUCAGUGAGGAAGAACGCCUGGUGGUUAAUACCCAUCAGGAAAGACAUCACUCACAGAAGAAGCACCGGCUAACUCCGUGCCAGCAGCCGCGGUAAUACGGAGGGUGCGAGCGUUAAUCGGAAUUACUGGGCGUAAAGCGCGCGUAGGUGGCUUGAUAAGCCGGUUGUGAAAGCCCCGGGCUCAACCUGGGAACGGCAUCCGGAACUGUCAAGCUAGAGUGCAGGAGAGGAAGGUAGAAUUCCCGGUGUAGCGGUGAAAUGCGUAGAGAUCGGGAGGAAUACCAGUGGCGAAGGCGGCCUUCUGGACUGACACUGACACUGAGGUGCGAAAGCGUGGGUAGCAAACAGGAUUAGAUACCCUGGUAGUC
RNAcentral lists this ribosomal RNA (463 nucleotides) under Vreelandella stevensii. Its description in RNAcentral is "partial 16S ribosomal RNA". It matches the Rfam family "Bacterial small subunit ribosomal RNA", at positions 338 to 795 of the family's 1533-position model. The record is from RNAcentral. Lineage: Bacteria; Pseudomonadati; Pseudomonadota; Gammaproteobacteria; Oceanospirillales; Halomonadaceae.